Molecule: ribosomal RNA, 498 nt
Filed under: Sparganophilus sp. G2
Lineage: Eukaryota; Metazoa; Annelida; Clitellata; Lumbriculida; Sparganophilidae
Description: partial 16S ribosomal RNA
Rfam family: Bacterial large subunit ribosomal RNA
Source: RNAcentral
CAAAAACAUUGCCGCUCGAAAAAAGAUGAGCGGUACCUCCUGCCCAGUGAAUUUUUCAACGGCCGCGGUAUCCUAACCGUGCAAAGGUAGCAUAAUCACUUGCCCAUUAAUUGUGGGCUAGAAUGAACGGAUAAACGAAAUAGAACCUGUCUCAACUACUAAAAUAAAAAUUAUUAUCUAGAUGAAGAAAUCUAGAUAUAGUCGAAGGACAAGAAGACCCUAUAGAGCUUUAUCUAAAAAAGAAAAACAUCUUAUUAAGAUUCGGUUGGGGCGACCAAGGAAUAACAAUCAUCCUAAUAAAAAAGAUUAAUUAAUCAAUUAAAUGACCCUAAAAUAGGAUCAAAAAAAUUAGCUACCUUAGGGAUAACAGGCUAAUCCCAUUAAAGAGUUCUUAUUAACAAUGGGGGUUGGCACCUCGAUGUUGGCUUAGGAAAUCUGUUUGACGCAGCAGUCAAAAAAAGAUGGUUUGUUCAACCAUUAAUAUCCUACGUGAUCUGA